UUACGGCCACAGCACAUUGAAACACCGCUUUCCGUACGAUCACCGAAUUUAAGCAAAGUCGAGCCUGGUUAGUAUCUAGAUGGGUGACCGCUUGGGAAUAUCAAGUGCUGUAA
Molecule: non-coding RNA, 113 nt
Organism: Acanthosepion pharaonis
Lineage: Eukaryota; Metazoa; Mollusca; Cephalopoda; Sepiida; Sepiidae
Source: the annotation of a GenBank genome assembly